GAGAUACUGAUUUUGAGGUGUAAAACUCCAUGUGUGGUGUUAUGGAUUUUAAUUGGAAAGGUGUUUUUCUUGUGGAUUGGAUUAGGAGAGAUGUUUCUACUGAGCUCUACUCAAUUGUCUCAAGAUUCCCCUGGCUUCCAGCCUUUGUUUCUCGGUCGUUGAUGUGGAUUGAUGAAUUGUAUGUAACUUAGAGGAUUUGAGGUUCAUGUUUUUCUUUUUUCUUCUUUUUUGGAUUACUUGAGGUUUAUAUUCCUUUUUGUGUUGAAUAUCUGG
Molecule: unclassified non-coding RNA, 273 nt
Filed under: Hevea brasiliensis (rubber tree)
Lineage: Eukaryota; Viridiplantae; Streptophyta; Magnoliopsida; Malpighiales; Euphorbiaceae
Source: RNAcentral